Aspergillus clavatus NRRL 1 is the source of this 154-nucleotide ribosomal RNA. It matches the Rfam family "5.8S ribosomal RNA". From Rfam's summary of the family: 5.8S ribosomal RNA (5.8S rRNA) is a component of the large subunit of the eukaryotic ribosome. It is transcribed by RNA polymerase I as part of the 45S precursor that also contains 18S and 28S rRNA. NCBI's taxonomy places the organism in Eukaryota, Fungi, Ascomycota, Eurotiomycetes, Eurotiales, Aspergillaceae. The record is from Rfam.
AACUUUCAACAACGGAUCUCUUGGUUCCGGCAUCGAUGAAGAACGCAGCGAAAUGCGAUAACUAAUGUGAAUUGCAGAAUUCAGUGAAUCAUCGAGUCUUUGAACGCACAUUGCGCCCCCUGGUAUUCCGGGGGGCAUGCCUGUCCGAGCGUCA